Molecule: ribosomal RNA, 293 nt
Filed under: uncultured bacterium
Lineage: Bacteria
Description: partial 16S ribosomal RNA
Rfam family: Archaeal small subunit ribosomal RNA
Source: RNAcentral
GUGCCAGCCGCCGCGGUAAUACCGGCAGCACGAGUGAUGGCCGCUCUUAUUGGGCCUAAAGCGUCCGUAGCCGGCCAAGCAAGUCCGUUGGGAAAUCGACGCGCUCAACGCGUCGGCGUCCAGCGGAAACUGUUUGGCUUGGGGCCGGAAGACCUGAGGGGUACGUCCGGGGUAGGAGUGAAAUCCUGUAAUCCUGGACGGACCACCGGUGGCGAAAGCGCCUCAGGAAGACGGACCCGACGGUGAGGGACGAAAGCUAGGGUCUCGAACCGGAUUAGAUACCCGAGUAGUCC